Oncorhynchus gorbuscha (pink salmon) is the source of this 5687-nucleotide long non-coding RNA. RefSeq lists it as uncharacterized. The record is from RefSeq and is a predicted model, not a curated record. Lineage: Eukaryota; Metazoa; Chordata; Actinopteri; Salmoniformes; Salmonidae. The transcript has 3 exons.
AGCAGAUGAGCUUCCCUGAGAUGUUAUCUGACAGUUUGUUCAGAAAUUCUUCAGUUGUGCAAACCCACAGUUUUAUCAGCUCUCCGGGUGACUGAUCUCAGAUGAUUCCGCAGGUGAAGAAGCCAGAUGUGGAUGUCCUGGACUGGCGUCGUUACACAUGGUCUGCGGUUGUGAGGCCGGUUGGACGAACAGCGAAAUUCUCUAAAACGAUGAAGGCAGCUUAUGGCAGAGAAAUAAACAUAAAAUUCUCUGGCAACAGCUCUGAUGGACAUUCCUGCAGUCAGCAUACCAAAUGCACACUCCCUAAAAACUUGAGACAUGUGUGGUAGUGUUUGACAAAACUGCACAUUUUAGAGUGGCCUUUUAUUGUCCCCCAGUACAAGGUGCACCUGUGUACUGAUAAAGCUUUUUAAUUAGCUUCUUGAUAUUCCACACCUGUCAGGUGGAUGGAUUAUCUUGGCCAAUGAGAAAUGCUCACUAACAGGGAUGUAAACUAAUUUCUGCACUAAAUUUGAGAGAAAAAAUAUGUUUGUGCACAUUUAACAUUUCUGUGAUGUUUCAUUUCAGCUCAUGAAACAAGGGACCAACACUUUACAUGUUGUGUUUAUAUUUUUGUUUGCUCAUUUAAUAGCUAGUUAGCAAUCUAGCUAAGUGGUUAGUUACUUCCAAAAUCAAGCUUAGCUUGGCAACAGCAAGGCUCUUGAUCAGUAUCCCCUCAUGGAUCAAGAGCCUUGCUGUCUAAUAUUUGUUUUGUGCAUGCAUCAAACUAUGAGUAGCAUUUUUUAGUUACUUGUAUAACUUUGAACUGGGGAGUCUGUCCUGCAAAUACUUUAAGUCAGACUGUAUAAAAUGCUUGCAAUGUGCUCGUUAGAAUUUAGUUAGCAUUCUCUAUGGGAUUUUAAAUGUACAUGUUAGGAAUGUUAACUUUUGGAUAACAGAAGAUCUGUGAGGUUUGAAAAUAGUGCCCCUUGUGUUCAGUGCCAGUACUACCAAAUAUCCUGGUAUGGCACAAGGUAGGCAUGACAAUCUGGAUACUGCCCAAGGCCAAACCCAAUUCAACGUGUUUCUAUGGGCUAUAGUAAUAAAGGCAAUUCUAUAUUUUAUCAAAAUAUUAUUUCAUUUUUUUAAAAGUAUACUUAAACAGGUCCUAAAAUUCUAAAUCAGAUAGCCUAAUGAUCCAAGGUAUGAUUAUCAUAAAACAAUUCCAUAUGUUAGCUUAGUAGAACCGCCCUACCCCACGGCUUAGACUUUGAGGUUAACAUCUCUACAGACCUGUGUAUGAAACUUCUCUCUGCACUAGCCAUGAACAUGUAUAGCCAACUACAACAGCAUAAUAAUUCAAUAUUGGCAUUUACAUGUAAAAUUAGUUGAAAUGACAUUGCUAAGUCACGUGGGUAAACAGCUAUUGAAAUUCUAAACUUUCAAUAUUUAUAUAAAAUUGUAUAUGUGCUUUUUUUUUACCAAAGGGUGUGCAAUGUGGCCCCCUCUCCAUUGAGCAAUACAAAAUUGGUUUGAUGUGCCUUGGUCAUGUGAUCAAGGAGCUAUUGAAUUGUGAGAAUUGUUUUAAUUAAAUUAUUUCUUUAUAGAAUAAUUUUAUGACAAAGCCAACGGAUGUGCAACACAACUCUUUGUAAUGAAUAAUGGACAACUGAAAAUAUGUUGCUAAGUCAUGUGGUUGAAGAGCUAUUGACAUUUCAAUAUUGUGAUCAUGUACUUUGUCGACGGUCCCGAACUGGUUGCAUUGACGGUGAGCCACACUGCCUACACCGUUACCAUAUGAUUAUUAAAAAAUAAGACCUGUGCAAUGUUGUAAAACUUUUGCCUUCGUAAACAGCUUAACCUGAGGUAUGUACCUCAAGUCGUUAACGAGCUAUUGAAUUUGAAGGUCCGAAUGUCUGGCUAAUAUCGAAUCUCAAACCCACGGUCUCCCAACGCCAUAGCCCAUGCAUGCACGUGACAGCGAUUGUCAAAAACAUCAUUACGGAAACAAGGUUAACUCAUUACAAUGUAACAACAUAAUACGCAAGUCAAGCCAACCAGAUACAUACCGAUAAUUAAACAGGCUAUGUCAAGCAGAAUAAAAAGAAUCCCUCUCGCCUCGAACAUGAUUGCGGCUUCUUCUCCUCAGCUCGUGGACACAGAUGAGAAAAAACACUCGCACGAGUCAAUUGCUCCUCGGACGUGUCGUUGUCGUAUCCUUGAAAGCGCAGAAGCCAAGCCUAUCAGUAAACCGCAGAUCUCAUUAGACUAAAACUACACUUCUACCUAAAAAAAUAUUAUUAAAAACCGUCAAUCGAGUAGCCUACCAUUGGAGGGCUACCAUAAUGGCGACAGAUAGCCCAGUCGCCGUAACGUGACACGGAAUGCAAAACUGAUCUUCCCCUUGGAAUUACCGAAUUAUAGCGCGCAUCGAAAUUCUAAUCAAAGCUAAAUUAGACGGUCUCUGCCGUCUCAUUCAAAAUCGCUUGACCGCCAGGCGUAAACUAUUCGUUGGAGUUCUGUACAGGACUGCACACCAAGCCAUGGGCACAGUGGGGUUUCAUGAUAGCAGCUGACGAGGAUCAACAGAAGAGCCUAUCGCCUGCUUGCCAGCACAAUAUGAGAACACCGGUCACGUCCCCUUUCGAAGAGAACAUACAGGAAGAAGACAGACCAUGGAAGCUGUGUCUCGGGGGUGAUACAGCAUCCCCUGAAGGCAAUAGACCUUAAAGGGGCGUGCCAGGGUGUUCAACAUUCCACCAAGAACCCUAUGGCACCACAGAGGAAAGGAGGUGAAAAACCCAGGCUUCAGCCAAAUGGGUGGGGCGUCAGUCUUCUCUUUCGUGUCUGAAAGUGACCUCGUCAAUCGCAUCAUGGGACGUGAGAAGACUCGCCUUUGAUCUGACAGAGAGGAUGGGAAUCAAGCACAGGUUCAUCAUAGGAAAGGGGUAUGCAUGGGUGGAUUGGUUCAGUUGCUUAAUGAAGCGCAACCCUCAACUGUCAGUUUGAGUAUCGCAAGCAACCAGUCUUGCGAAGGCCGUGGGCUUUAAUAAGCUUAAGGUUGACCAGUUUUUUUAUGGCCUACAAGGACGUUUUAAACAGCAUCAGGGACAUCGGGAAAACAAAGAUUUGGAACAUGGACAAAAGUCCAGAAACUGUUGCCUGUGGUGGCCACCGAGGGAACAAAACGUGUUGCAUGGUUGACCAGCGCAGAGUGGCUUCACAGUCACAGUAAUUUGUGCUAUCAGUGUAGCGAGGCAGUACGUACUGCCCCUCUUCAUCUUCCCUCGGAAGAGGAUGAACGAACAGCUGCUGGUUGAAGCACCUGCACGGUCCGUUGGAAGGGUGAGUGACUCAGGCUGAGUCGACAGUACCAUCUUUGUCGACUGGCUCCACAACUUCAUCCACAGUGUUGGUUGCACCCCUGAGGAAUCCCACAUCCUCAUCCUCGAUGGGCACCACUCCCAUAAGACCCUGGAGGCUGUUCUGAAAGCAAGAGGCCAGGGUCUGAUUCUCAUCACUCUGCCACCCCACUGCAGCCACAAAAUGCAGCUGUUAGACCGUACCGUUUUCAAGGGUCUGAUGGCCUUUUACAACAGGGCAGAAGAUCAGUGGAUGACGAUGCAUCCUGGGAAAAGGAUAUGUAUAUACCAAAUGGCUAGACUCUUCACAAAGAUCUAUAACAAUGUGGCCAGUGUGGAGAGAGAGUGGAGGCCUUCUGGGCCAGUGGGCUGUGGCCUUUGGAGAAGGACAUCUUCACAGAGGCAGACUUCAUGGUCACUGAGGUUAUAGAGGAGCCUGAGCCCAUUGCCAGUAAGAUAAAGUUAUCUAAAUUAACGAAAAGUAGCAGAAGAAGCAUCUACUUGGUAGAAAGUGUUUAUUGUACUUACACCAAUGUAUUGUUAUGGUCGUUUAUUUUCAAUGCAAGGAAUCCAUUCAACCACAGUGCUCUACCGCUGCCACCGAUGCAGCUACCAGCUCUACCACCGCCACCUCUACAGCCACCAUCACUAGCUCUACCUACACCGCCACCAGCUCUAACGCCAAAACCUCUACCUCCACCACAUCUACUUCCACCACAACCUCCACCGUGCAGCCUACCCUUGCUCCAAAUCAAUUCUAUUGGAGUUGUGGCCGAGGCUCCAGGAGGCGAGGCAGAUGAAGAGGAAGGCAGAGUCUGCAGCUGUACUGACAGCCUCACCUUUACAAAAGGUUGCUGGAGGAAAAUGCUCGACAGAAACAUCAACACGAAGAAAAGAGAGAGAGUAAGAAAACAAAUCAGGUUCUUCAAAGACGGUUGGUGCAACACAACAAGCCACAUCAGCCACCAAAGAAGGGGGUGCGGAGGUGUGAGGUGCUGGUCUUUUCUGUGAGGUGCUGGUUUCAGUCACAGGUGGGGACUGGAUUAGGUGUGAGAACUGCAGGAGGUGGGCUCAUGGGUUGUGCAAUAGCAGAGCAAAAGAGAUGCAACAUCAUUGGUUGGUUAACUUAUGGUUAACUUAUGAUGUAUUGUUAUUAAAUGUUAUAUUCCAAUGUUAUUUCAUGUUAUUAGUUAUAUUCCAUUCCAAUAUUAUAUUCCAAUUCAUAUAUUUAUUUUUAAUGAAUUUUUAAAAAGCGAUUGAAAACCUUUUGCUCCUGAAUGUCAAUUUAAAGACUGCAGGGAUUUAAAAUCUUGCAUUAUUCCAAUACUAUUUAGUGAAAUUGUACAUAAUGCAUUGUAAGGAAAAGAAGCAACAUUGAAUGAACAAAGAAAAUUAAUGUGCAGGUGAGUUAAAGAGGGACUUUACAUCAAAUCUACUCAUAGUGCAGAUAUUAAUAGUGACAUGUGCAACACAAUUUACACCAACAUUUGUUUUAAAUCAUUAAAAUAAGGCAGCUAGAUUUAGCUUUUAAGUAUUACUUACUAAAUCAUUUCUAAAUAAAACUGAUUAAAUGGAUUUUAACACAGUUGUGUGAAACUCUAUGCCAUAAUCUUCUACUCGGGGGGCAGUUACCCCGGUACUUAAAAAACCCCUAUCUAAAAACAACAUUUCAUGAAAUGACUUAAAAAGUGUUUAUUUAACUUUAUAUUUUAUUUGCCUUAACAUGACCUUCAUAGGUUAAAUGCACAUACCAAUUUUUUUUUUGUGUCAGCAAUUCAACAUUGUUCUUAGGGGGUGCUAGUUACCCCCUAGUACCCUAACAUGGCAUGGAUCAUUCCACCAAUUCUGGGCUUUUUGAGAAGUGUAAAUUCGCCUCAUUUUAACAUUCGGCCAUAAAAAGAGCACAUGAUCAACUUGACUAUCAUAAGUGCCUAUUAAGUACCAAAUAAAGUAAGUGGGUUGAAUGUAACAGGAUUGACAAUUUCUUUUUAAAUCAACCAUACAUCUCCUUGUGACAGGGUGAAUCGAAGCAUGUUGUGUGCUAAAGGGAGUGGCAAGCUUCACCCCAAAAAAUGAAAUUAUGAAAACAUUUCUAGUCUGUCUAUCUGCAUAUACGCAGACUCAGCAUCAUUCAAAUAACGGCGUUUGAUACACCUGGUAUUGGAUAUGACUGAAAAUAAAUGUGCUAAAUGAGGGACAAAUGUAAAUUAAUCACUAAUAAUCUCAUUAAAUACAGUGCAUUAGGAAAGUAUUCAGACCCCUUCACUUUUUUUCCACAUUUUGUUACGCUACAGCCUCAUUCUAAAAUGGAUGAAAAUAUUUUUCCCUCAUCAAUCUACACACAAU